UCAUUCGGUGGCAGGGGUCUUCCUCUCCAACCCCAUCUUGCACUUUAGAAGAUAUCUGAAGUAAGACAGCAAAUCGGGGCCAGAGAUGAAGGAAGAAAUACUAUGAAAUGAAGGGAAAUAAUUCCUGCCGUUGAUGGAUCGGCCCCGAAAAGGCGCGCUUUCACUCUUGAUGACGUCAUACAAUUACUGGCUUCCCGUGUGUGCAAGGUGCUUUGAAAUUGACAUCGUUAUUAUUAAUUAGACCAAUUAGUUAUCGGUCUGUGAUUUGCAGUUUUGUCUGAAUACGAAUAUCACAACAUGUUGAUGUGAAGGAAAUCUCUCCAUUCGGAAGUGUCUUUGAUAUUCUCAUCACCUAAAGGAAGACUGCAUA
This 370-nucleotide unclassified non-coding RNA is filed under the name Octopus sinensis (East Asian common octopus). RNAcentral's name for it is "zinc finger protein 883-like, transcript variant X6". The record is from RNAcentral. Lineage: Eukaryota; Metazoa; Mollusca; Cephalopoda; Octopoda; Octopodidae.